UCCAAAUUCGCUGCACAAUAUAUCUGAAAAUUGGCAUCAAGUUGCAUGUUCCAGCUGUCUUGAAGCUGGACAGAAACAAGUUGCAUUGCCUACUUGAAUUUUGGAUGUUCCUUUGCCUAUAAAAGGGGACCUUGGCCACGAUUUUGAAAGCAUCAAUCCUCUCCAUCAUAUUCUAGUUUCUUCAUUUUCUUUGUAACAUUUCACUAUGUAUUCCUAAACAUUUAGCUAGAGCUAAGGGUGAAACUUUGAUGAAUGUUUAGUAUUGUC
This 267-nucleotide long non-coding RNA is filed under the name Olea europaea (common olive). RNAcentral describes it as "long non-coding RNA (OEUR_LNC011817)". The record is from RNAcentral. Lineage: Eukaryota; Viridiplantae; Streptophyta; Magnoliopsida; Lamiales; Oleaceae.